RNAcentral lists this ribosomal RNA (248 nucleotides) under uncultured Halomonadaceae bacterium. RNAcentral describes it as "partial 16S ribosomal RNA". It matches the Rfam family "Bacterial small subunit ribosomal RNA", at positions 77 to 326 of the family's 1533-position model. The record is from RNAcentral. Lineage: Bacteria; Pseudomonadati; Pseudomonadota; Gammaproteobacteria; Oceanospirillales; Halomonadaceae.
AGCUUGCUUCCUGGUGGCGAGCGGCGGACGGGUGAGUAAUGCAUAGAAAUCUGCCCGGUAGUGGGGGAUAACCUGGGGAAACCCCCGCUAAUACCGCAUACGUCCUACGGGAGAAAGCAGGGGAUCUUCGGACCUUGCGCUAUCGGAUGAGUCUAUGUCGGAUUAGCUUGUUGGUGAGGUAAUGGCUCACCAAGGCGACGAUCCGUAGCUGGUCUGACAGGAUGAUCAGCCACAUCGGGACUGAGACA